RNAcentral lists this ribosomal RNA (1164 nucleotides) under Triticum aestivum (bread wheat). Its description in RNAcentral is "partial small subunit ribosomal RNA". The record is from RNAcentral. Lineage: Eukaryota; Viridiplantae; Streptophyta; Magnoliopsida; Poales; Poaceae.
AUGGCGACGCGACGCGCGCCUCCGCAGCUGAUCGACGACGUCACGGACGAGGUCCUCCUCCGCCUCCUGCCGGACGAGCCGGAGCACCUCUUCCGCGCGGCGCUCGUCUGCAAGCGGUGGCUCCGCAUCAUCUGCGACCCGGGCUUCCUCCGCCGCUACCGCGCCUCCCACGGCGCCCCUCCCCUCCUCGGCCUCCUCCACAGGCUCCAGGCGAUCGAAGGUCCCCCGCCCGCCCGCUUCGCCUCCACCACCUCCAUGCCGGACUUCCCCCACCCGGGCGGGCUCCGACGGGCCCUCGACUGCCGCCACGGCCGCGUCCUCGUCCACACGGCGGAGGACGACGGCGUCGACUUCCUCGUCUGGAUCCCCAUCACGGGCCACCGCCGCGCCGUGCACGGGCCGGACAUCGACUGGUUCUGCCUCAUCGAGUCCGCGGUGCUGCUCUGCGCCGCCCACGGCUGCGACCACCUCGACUGCCACGGCGGGGGCCCCUUCCGCGUCGUCUUCGCCGCCACCCCUGAGUGCAAGGACACCGUGUUCGCGAGCAUGUACUCGUCGGAGGCGGAUGAGUGGAGCGUGCCAGUAUGCCUCGACAGCGGCUGUGAAUCCUUUGUCCGGUACAUGGAGCGAGAGAGACUCGCAGACCACUACUACCACACACCCUAUCUCCAGCCUAGGCGAGGCGCCGUCGUCGGAGAUGGAGUCUACUUCACGCUUAGCCGGGGCAACGCCAUCGUCAAGUAUGAUCUGGGCAAGAAUCGCCUGUCCAUUGUCGACCCACCGUGCCGGGACGUGUACGAGGUUGCCCUCAUGGCCAUGGAGGACACUUCACUUGGCUUUGCCUGCCUCCAGGGCUCCAGCCUUUAUGUGUGGUCAAGGAAGGUGGAUGCUGAAGAACCUGCAGAGUGGGUACAGUGCAGGGUCAUCGAGCUAGAGAAAAUUAUACCUGUUGCCGAUCACGAGAAGGCGUCAAUUGUUGUUGGGUCUGCAGAGGGUGUGGGUGUCAUCUUCGUUAGCACGGAUUUUGGCUUGUUUAUGAUCAACCUCAAUUCCGGGCAGCCUAAGAAGGUUGACGAGCCUGGGGUCUACUUCAGCGUCCUACCCUACAUGAGCUUCUACACUCCAGAUCGUGGCAAAAUGUUGUCGCUGGCGAGGACUAACUGA